GGCGGCGUGGCGCGGGUGUCCCCCGGGGAGGUCCCGGUCCUGGCAGCCGGCGGCCGCGUCCUUGGCCCUCCUCCAGGGGAACCUCGAUUUUCCCAUCUCGGGAAGGCCGGCUGUCCCUCGGCUACCGACAAGGACGCGACCGCUUGGUAAAAGAUUUGAACAAUGCCCGGAAAGAAAGAGCCGGACCCGAGACAGAGCCUAGUAAUAGCCGCCCGCUAGAGUCCUGCUCGCGUGCUCAGCGCUCUUACCAACAAUAAUAACGACAACAGCCAUAAGAGCCACCAUUUAUUGAGCGCUUACUCUGUGCCAGGCACUGUGUUAAGCGUUUUGCAGGCAACAACCCUCGGAGCUCUGAGAGGAGUGCAUCAUUAUUUCGACAGAGGAGACCACAAGACUGGUAAAUGGCAAUGUGGGCAUCCACCAGGAGGAUCUACCUGUAAAGCCACGUUCCCAUGACCCGAAUGCACAAGCUGAUCCAACUGAACAGAAGAGGAAAUGAUGUCCUAAAGUAAGCAGCCCCGGCUGGUACAGCAGCCCUGUGACCAUCAGGGACCCAGGCCCCUUCUACCUGGGGCUCCCCAUCAUCAGUGCAUGCCUUCCACUAGUGACCCAAGACACCAAUGGAAGAAGCAGCAGGAAAGAAGAGAGUCCUGCCUCCUCAAAGGACGCUUCCUGGAAUUCACAUGCAUCACAUCUGCUUGUACCGUACUAGCCAGAACAAAGUCCCACGGCCCCCAGAAGAUAAGAUUUAUCUAAGUAGAGCUUUUAUUACUAUAGAGAAAGAACAGAUAUUGGUGGGAUAACUGGCUUCUCUGCCGCAUUUUACAAACGUCUUUCCAGAGCACAUAGUUUUAUAUCCCUUUUGUUUUUCUCUUAUUUUUUAGUGAAUGUGUGACCACAUCAUUAAAUAUUCUUCAACUUUUAAUGGCUGCUCAAUAUUCCAUGAUAGCAGGUAGCAUCACUGAUAGAUCCAAUACCUUAUUUGAUAUGUGGGUGUUUUGCUCUGUUAAAUAAGACUCUUCAAUGGCUAAAACUUGUCAGAGGAAGAGAUCCCAACCUUUCCUCUCUACUUGGGGGCUGCCCUCCAAAGACAUUUUGCUGAGGAGUCAGAUUAGUAUCUGCCUUGAAAGCUGGCUUAAGGUUCUGUGUUUGUUUCUAAAAAAAAAAAAGAAGAAGAAGAAGAAGCUUUUUGGCAACAGGAAUACCCCUCCGUUCCCCUUGCAGAGGAAGUCAUAAGGGUAGGCACUUCUGCCUUUGGUGGGAGGAAGAUGGGGUGAGGAUGUGGGAGCUGCAGGUGCAGAGUCAGUGGGAGGAGACCAUGGACUCUACGGAGCCAGGAGAGGACCUGUUCCUGUAGAGGCUUAGGAGCCUGGAUGGGGCCCAAUUCAUUCUUCACUCAAGUUCAACCAGCACUUUCUGUGCCUCUUCUCAGGGUCAUGCCCUGGACCAGUCCCUGGGGUUGUCUCAGAGUAGACAUCGCCCCUGCUCUCCAGGAACCCAGUCAAGUCUAAACUCACCAAUGUAGGAGUUCAGCCUGCCGUGUCACCUCAAAUAAGAAUCCUCAGGCCCACACCCAAAUGCCUGAUGCCAUGUUGGUGGGUCUAGAACCUGCAUUUCUUUCCGUCUCCUGGAGUGACUGAUGGGCAUGCUCAGGAACCAUUUUAGUGGAGGAACAUCAGUCAAGGUGUUUAGAGGAAUCCUUUUAAACCAGGCAGACCAGGAGCCUCCGUCUGCUCAGUAUGUGGCUUGAACCUUGACUGAGCGUUAAGCUAUAAGAGGGCACCUGUCAGACACACCUGAACCCAAAUAGCAGGUCCAUCCUUCUGUAGCUGAGUGAUCUCAAGCAAAUUAUUUAACCUCCCUAAGACUCAGUUUUCCUAUUUGUAAAAUAGGAAGAAUUGAAGUCCUUCCCACGUGAAAAAAUAAACAUCAGUGCUUAGCAGAGUGUCUGGCACCCUAUAAAUGGUAGCUGUUGUUAUUAAAUUAAUUAAAACUGGGCAGCCUGGGUGGCCCAGCAGGUUAGCGCUGCCUUCAGCCCAGAGCAUGAUUCUGGAGAUCUGGGAUCGAGUCCCACGUCAGGUUCCCUGCAUGGAGCCUGCUUCUGUCUCCACCUCUGUGUGUGUGUGUGUGUGUGUGUCUCAUGAAAAAAUAAAAUCUUUAAAAAAAUUAAUUAAA
Nyctereutes procyonoides (raccoon dog) is the source of this 2175-nucleotide long non-coding RNA. RefSeq lists it as uncharacterized. The transcript is spliced from 3 exons. The record is from RefSeq and is a predicted model, not a curated record. NCBI's taxonomy places the organism in Eukaryota, Metazoa, Chordata, Mammalia, Carnivora, Canidae.